Nicotiana tabacum (common tobacco) is the source of this 776-nucleotide long non-coding RNA. RefSeq lists it as uncharacterized. The record is from RefSeq and is a predicted model, not a curated record. Lineage: Eukaryota; Viridiplantae; Streptophyta; Magnoliopsida; Solanales; Solanaceae.
GAGACCUAAGAACGAGAGGCUCCCCUUCUCUUAAAAAGCUUCAGCAAACGGUGGAUUUUCCCUCUUUCCAAAACCGAACACCCCCUAAUUCGUUUUCCUCAUUCUCGGCAGAAGAGAAUGAACCAGCUUCUCUAACUCAUUCCUCAUUGAAGAAACAGACCCCUCCCCUUUCGUCUCUCUCUGAAAGCGGCUGAAAUCUCCUCCUGAAAUGAAGCCGCCGCUGACAUCUUCUUCUCAACCCCCCACUAGAGCCUGACGGAUCUGGAAAAAAAUCCAGAUCUGAGAUUUUAGAAAGAGCUAAAAAAACACAAAACAAAGACAAAAAUAAGAGGAGAUUUCAAGGUUGUUGUUGACUUUGUUCCGUUGCUAUUUUCAACUUCUGUGUCUUAGCUUCAUAAUUUCCGGAAAUCUGAAGCGAUUGAAUCGAUGUCCGCUGCUACUCUGUUGGCUCGCCUGUUCUACUUUCUAUUUAGCAAUUCUGAAGUUUUCACCUUGUUCUUGAGAUUCAGGCAUAUCUGGUCCCGCUCCCGAGUGCUGAUCAUUUUCGGCCCAAGCAGAUCCGUGGAGUCUCUAGGUAGCUAUUGGCGUUCGUAGCCCGGAGCUCUUCCCUAUCUUACUUCUUCAUGUUCUUGGUUUUCUAUAUUAAACUCUGUAGUUUGAUUUGGAGUAUUCUGUUUUGUUAGAUGCUCAUGACUAGUGACACCCCGGUAUCGGGUUGUGUUGGGUUAUUUUCUGCGAAUUAUGAUAUUAACUGCUUAAACCCUGGUUUAUUUGAU